Molecule: non-coding RNA, 23 nt
Filed under: Cricetulus griseus (Chinese hamster)
Lineage: Eukaryota; Metazoa; Chordata; Mammalia; Rodentia; Cricetidae
Source: RNAcentral
GGUGGAGGAGGGAGACGGGUGUG